RNAcentral lists this ribosomal RNA (457 nucleotides) under uncultured bacterium. RNAcentral describes it as "partial 16S ribosomal RNA". It matches the Rfam family "Bacterial small subunit ribosomal RNA", at positions 28 to 523 of the family's 1533-position model. The record is from RNAcentral.
GAUGAACGCUGGCGGCGUGCCUAAUACAUGCAAGUCGUACGGAAAGGCCCUUCGGGGUACUCGAGUGGCGGACGGCUGAGUAACGCGUGGGAACGUGCCCCUAAGUUAGGGAUAACGCACCGAAAGGUGUGCUAAUACCGCAUAUGGUCUUCGGAUUAAAGCUUCGGCGCUUUGGGAGCGGCCCGCGUACGAUUAGAUAGUUGGUGAGGUAAUGGCUCACCAAGUCGACGAUCGUUAGCUGGUCUGAGAGGAUGAUCAGCCAGACUGGGACUGAGACACGGCCCAGACUCCUACGGGAGGCAGCAGUAAGGAAUCUUCCACAAUGGGGGCAACCCUGAUGGAGCAACGCCGCGUGCAGGAUGAAGGUUUUCGGAUCGUAAACUGCUUUUAUAAGUGAAGAAUAUGACGGUAACUUAUGAAUAAGGAUCGGCUAACUACGUGCCAGCCGCCGCAGUAA